GAUGAACGCUGGCGGCGUGCCUAAUACAUGCAAGUCGAGCGAACAGACGAGGAGCUUGCUCCUCUGACGUUAGCAGCGGACGGGUGAGUAACACGUGGAUAACCUACCUAUAAGACUGGGAUAACUUCGGGAAGCCGGAGCUAAUACCGGAUAAUAUAUUGAACCGCAUGGUUCAAUAGUGAAAGACGGUUUUGCUGUCACUUAUAGAUGGAUCCGCGCCGCAUUAGCUAGUUGGUAAGGUAACGGCUUACCAAGGCAACGAUGCGUAGCCGACCUGAGAGGGUGAUCGGCCACACUGGAACUGAGACACGGUCCAGACUCCUACGGGAGGCAGCAGUAGGGAAUCUUCCGCAAUGGGCGAAAGCUUGACGGAGCAACGCCGCGUGAGUGAUGAAGGUCUUCGGAUCGUAAAACUCUGUUAUUAGGGAAGAACAAAUGUGUAAGUAACUAUGCACGUCUUGACGGUACCUAAUCAGAAAGCCACGGCUAACUACGUG
RNAcentral lists this ribosomal RNA (497 nucleotides) under uncultured bacterium. RNAcentral describes it as "partial 16S ribosomal RNA". It matches the Rfam family "Bacterial small subunit ribosomal RNA", at positions 28 to 507 of the family's 1533-position model. The record is from RNAcentral.